UACGGAGGGUGCGAGCGUUGUCCGGAAUCACUGGGCGUAAAGGGCGCGUAGGCGGCCCGGUAAGCGUGUGGUGAAAGCCCGGGGCUCAACCCCGGGUCGGCCGUGCGAACUGCUGGGCUGGAGCACUGUAGGGGCGGGUGGAAUUCCGGGUGUAGCGGUGGAAUGCGUAGAGAUCGGAAAGAACACCAACGGCGAAAGCACUCUGCUGGGCCGACACUGACACUGAGAGACGAAAGCUAGGGGAGCGAAUGGG
This 253-nucleotide ribosomal RNA is filed under the name uncultured bacterium. Its description in RNAcentral is "partial 16S ribosomal RNA". It matches the Rfam family "Bacterial small subunit ribosomal RNA", at positions 524 to 776 of the family's 1533-position model. The record is from RNAcentral.